Molecule: ribosomal RNA, 434 nt
Filed under: uncultured anaerobic ammonium-oxidizing bacterium
Lineage: Bacteria
Description: bacterial SSU rRNA
Rfam family: Bacterial small subunit ribosomal RNA
Source: RNAcentral
GUGACUAUGCGACGCCGCGUGCAGGAUGAAGGCCUUCGGGUCGUAAACUGCUGUCAGUGGGGAAGAAACCCUUAUAUUUAAAAGAUGUAAGGCUGACAUCACCCACAAAGGAAGCCACGGCUAACUCUGUGCCAGCAGCCGCGGUAAGACAGAGGUGGCAAGCGUUGUUCGGAUUCAUUGGGUGUAAAGGGUCUGUAGGUGGCCGAGUAAGUCUGACGUGAAAUCCCAUGGCUCAACCGUGGAACUGCGUUGGAAACUGCAUGGCUUGAGUAUCGCAGAGGUGUAGGGAAUUCCCGGUGUAAGGGUGAAAUCUGUAGAUAUCGGGAGGAACACCAGUGGCGAAGGCGCUACACUGGGCGAUUACUGACACUGAGAGACGAAAGCAAGGGGAGCAAACAGGAUUAGAUACCCCGGUAGUCCUGGCCGUAAACGAU